This 508-nucleotide ribosomal RNA is filed under the name Sphingobacterium sp. S6. Its description in RNAcentral is "bacterial SSU rRNA". It matches the Rfam family "Bacterial small subunit ribosomal RNA", at positions 395 to 903 of the family's 1533-position model. Lineage: Bacteria; Pseudomonadati; Bacteroidota; Sphingobacteriia; Sphingobacteriales; Sphingobacteriaceae. The record is from RNAcentral.
UGCCGCGUGCAGGAUGACUGCCCUAUGGGUUGUAAACUGCUUUUGUCCAGGAAUAAACCUAAAUACGUGUAUUUGGCUGAAUGUACUGGAAGAAUAAGGAUCGGCUAACUCCGUGCCAGCAGCCGCGGUAAUACGGAGGAUCCGAGCGUUAUCCGGAUUUAUUGGGUUUAAAGGGUGCGUAGGCGGCCUAUUAAGUCAGGGGUGAAAUACGGUGGCUCAACCAUCGCAGUGCCUUUGAUACUGAUGGGCUUGAAUCCAUUUGAAGUGGGCGGAAUAAGACAAGUAGCGGUGAAAUGCAUAGAUAUGUCUUAGAACUCCGAUUGCGAAGGCAGCUCACUAAGCUGGUAUUGACGCUGAUGCACGAAAGCGUGGGGAUCGAACAGGAUUAGAUACCCUGGUAGUCCACGCCCUAAACGAUGAUAACUCGAUGUUGGCGAUAGACAGCCAGCGUCCCAGCGAAAGCGUUAAGUUAUCCACCUGGGGAGUACGCCCGCAAGGGUGAAACUCA